UAAAGGUUAGUUUAAUUUAAAACCUUGGUCUGUGAUCCCAAAGAAAAUUUUUGAGAAAUUACCUUUAG
Molecule: transfer RNA, 68 nt
Filed under: Chromodoris orientalis
Lineage: Eukaryota; Metazoa; Mollusca; Gastropoda; Nudibranchia; Chromodorididae
Description: tRNA-His
Source: RNAcentral